Molecule: ribosomal RNA, 483 nt
Filed under: uncultured archaeon
Lineage: Archaea
Description: bacterial SSU rRNA
Rfam family: Archaeal small subunit ribosomal RNA
Source: RNAcentral
GCGUCCGUAGCCGGUUUAAUAAGUCUCUGGUGAAAUCCUGUAGCUUAACUGUGGGAAUUGCUGGAGAUACUAUUAGACUGAGACCGGGAGAGGUUAGAGGUACUCCCAGGGUAGAGGUGAAAUUCUGUAAUCCUGGGAGGACCGCCUGUUGCGAAGGCGUCUAACUGGAACGGUUCUGACGGUGAGGGACGAAAGUUAGGGGCGCGAACCGGAUUAGAUACCCGGGUAGUCCUAACUGUAAACGAUGCGGACUUGGUGUUGGGGUAGGCUUUGAGCUGCUCCAGUGCCGAAGGGAAGCUGUUAAGUCCGCCGCCUGGGAAGUACGGUCGCAAGACUGAAACUUAAGGAAUUGGCGGGGGAGCACCACAACGCGUGGAGCCUGCCGGUUUAAUUGGAUUCAACGCCGGACAUCUCACCAGAGGCGACAGCUGUAUGAUAGCCAGGUUGAUGACUUUGCUUGACUAGCUGAGUGGUGGUGCAUGG